AUUGAACGCUGGCGGAAUGCUUUACACAUGCAAGUCGAACGGCAGCACGGACUUCGGUCUGGUGGCGAGUGGCGAACGGGUGAGUAAUGUAUCGGAACGUGCCCAGUCGUGGGGGAUAACGUAGUGAAAAUUACGCUAAUACCGCAUACGAUCUAUGGAUGAAAGCGGGGGAUCGCAAGACCUCGCGCGAUUGGAGCGGCCGAUAUCAGAUUAGGUAGUUGGUGGGGUAAAGGCCCACCAAGCCAACGAUCUGUAGCUGGUCUGAGAGGACGACCAGCCACACUGGAACUGAGACACGGUACAGACUCCUACGGGAGGCAGCAGUGGGGAAUUUUGGACAAUGGGCGAAAGCCUGAUCCAGCCAUUCCGCGUGCAGGAUGAAGGCCCUCGGGUUGUAAACUGCUUUUGUACAGAACGAAAAGGUUUCUACUAAUACUAGGAGCUCACGACGGUACUGUAAGAAUAAGCACCGGCUAACUACGUGCCAGCAGCCGCAGUAA
This 500-nucleotide ribosomal RNA is filed under the name uncultured bacterium. RNAcentral's name for it is "partial 16S ribosomal RNA". It matches the Rfam family "Bacterial small subunit ribosomal RNA", at positions 30 to 523 of the family's 1533-position model. The record is from RNAcentral.